RNAcentral lists this long non-coding RNA (963 nucleotides) under Phoenix dactylifera (date palm). RNAcentral's name for it is "long non-coding RNA (PDAC_LNC001584)". Lineage: Eukaryota; Viridiplantae; Streptophyta; Magnoliopsida; Arecales; Arecaceae. The record is from RNAcentral.
UUGAGGUCAAUGUUCUGAUUUGAGAUAACCCUAAGUUUGCAACAGUAGAAGAAUUUAUCAAUGAUUUGAAGAAGAAUUUAUCAAUGCUUUGAAGAACAAAGCAACCGUGCUAUGCAGAUAAAAUGUAAGAAUGUAAUGCUAAUUCUGGAUGAGCCCUAGUUUAUGAUGCUACAUAUUAAAAUUUUAUGGGUUCUGUAGGAAGGGCCAAUUACAGGAAUAUAAGUUGAAGGAAGAAUCAAGAAAAGUUUAGCCCUUAGCAGAAAAGGAAAUGGAUCCCUUAACCUAUUCAGUUUCUCAACUUGAAUUUGGGUGGUUCCUAUAGAAGAGAGGGUAAUAAUGGGGUAGGUGAAGCAAUCAGAGAUCCUUCAGCCAGGGUUAUCAAAGCUUAAACUAGUCAAUAAUGCUUGAUGCAAAAUGAUGGCUGCAGAGUAACUCAUAGAAAAGAGAUCAAUAUAUAUGUAAUAUAUUGGCCAAAAUUGACUUUAAGAUAAUAAAAUCAAUUAUUUAUGGUCACAAAGCAUGGCUUUGAAAACUUUAGGCAUUGAAUGGCAUAUAAUAGGCCAUUGGGUUGGUCGAAGGAGGAACAGGCUUAUAUAUGAAUUUUGCAAGGGCAGACACAAUAUGCUUGCACAGUAAGUUGUUUGGUCACCAAAGCUGAUUACCAAACUGUAACCAUAAAUACUUGCACAUCUCACAUUUAGUGGUUCUUGUUGACUGACCGAGUGACUGCAAAAGCUUAAGUUGACAUGGAAAUGGUCAAUAAUGUAUAUUCCUCUUAGCAACCCUCCAUGCCCCCCCCCCCUCCCAAAAAAACAAAAAUAUCCACAGGCCUGGACCAUGCAUGAGGAGCGUUCAAUGCUGAUCACCUAAAUCAAUUUGGCAAACUACACAAGAAGCACACAUAAGGUGGGUUGUUGAAUUAAUCAUUCCCAAACAGUCAAGGAUAGAAACUUUUGUACUUAC